AUGCCGACUGCAAUUUUCCGGGCCAUCUCAUUCUUAUCGGUGGCGCUCCUGCUUCUUCCUGUUUCUGGCCUGAACCAUGAAGGCACCGCCCUCCUCGCGUGGCUGUCGUCCUUCAACUCUUCUCUCUCCUCCGCUCUGUUCUCCUCGUGGGAUCCAACCCACAGCAAUCCAUGCAGAUGGGCUUUCGUUUCUUGCUCCAGCAGCGGUCUGGUUUCAGAGAUUUGCAUCAGAUCCAUCAGCCUCCACACAACUUUUCCCUCCCAGAUUCUUUCCUUCAGGUCCCUCGCCAAUCUCGUCCUGUAUGACACAAACAUCACCGGAGAGAUCCCACGGAUGAUUGCUAAUCUGACUUCUCUGCUCACGCUGGACCUCAGAUUCAAUGCCCUCAGCGGGAAGAUCCCACCGGGGAUGGGAAACCUUUCGUCGUUGCGGUCUCUCUACCUCAGUUCCAACUCACUGAAGGGUCCGAUACCGCGGGAGAUCUGCAACUGCUCGGAGCUCAGAGUGCUCGAGCUUGUCGACAACCAGCUCACCGGGACGAUUCCAGCAGAGAUCGGACGGCUUUCUUCUCUGGAAAUCUUCCGUGCAGGAGGAAACUCCGGUAUAUCCGGAGAGAUCCCACCGAGCAUUUCGAACUGCAAAGGACUAGUUCUUCUGGGACUCGCAGACACCGCAGUCUCUGGCCGCAUUCCAUCCGGCAUCGGGGAAUUGAGAAAUCUAAGAACUCUCUCUAUAUAUACCUCCAAUCUGUCAGGAUCCAUACCACCAGAAAUAGCCAACUGUUCGGCCAUAGAGUAUCUGUUCCUCUACGAGAACCAGCUUAGCCAGGGGAUUCCAUCCGAGUUGGGCCUGCUGAAGAGUCUCAAGUGAUCUUGCUUUGGAAGAACAGAUUCACUGGUGAUGUGCCGGAAUCAAUCGGCAACUGCACUGGUUUGACGGUCAUGGAUCUGUCCUUGAAUUAUCUGACGGGUGAAGUUCCAGCCUCGUUCGCCAAGCUGAUGUCUCUGGAGGUGUUUCUGCUGUCUUACAACAACAUCUCAGGAAGAAUCCCAGGUUUCGUGGGGAACCUUUCGAGACUGUCACAGUUAGAGCUAGAUAAUAACAGGUUCUCCGGUGAAUUGCCAACAGGAAUCGGACAGCUGAAAGAGCUGACUCAGUUCUUCGCAUGGCAGAAUCAGCUCCAUGGAAAUGUACCUUCCGAACUAGGUGGCUGUGGAAAGCUCGAAUCUUUGGAUCUUUCCUACAACUUCCUCACCGGUUUCCUGCCGGUUUCUCUGUUCAGGAUCAAGAGCUUGACGGAGCUCAUGCUCAUCUCUAACGGCUUCUUCGGUGAUCUACCUCCGGAUAUCGGAAACUGCACCAAAUUGGUCCGGCUGAGGCUCGGAUUCAACAGGUUCUCAGGCAGAAUGCCAGCGGAAAUCGGGCACCUGCGCAAUCUGAGCUUCCUCGAACUGUCCGAGAAUAUGAUCUCCGGUGAGAUACCGUCCGAGCUCGGAAACUGCACUCGACUCGAAAUGAUCGAUCUGCAUGAGAAUCGGAUUCAAGGUACCAUCCCUUCCUCGCUCGAGCACCUUCGGCAGCUUAAUGUGAUCGAUUUGUCGAGGAACAGGAUCGCCGGACCGGUUCCUGAGGUGCUGGGUAAGCUCAGAACUCUGAGCAAGCUCAUGCUGGGUGGGAACUACCUAAGUGGUUCGAUCCCGAAGACCUUGGGCCUUUGCGGGGACUUGGAGUUCCUCGACAUGAGCAGCAACAGGAUCGCCGGUCCGAUCCCGGAGGAGAUCGGUUACCUGCAAGGGUUAGAUAUAGUGCUCAACCUGAGCUGGAACUAUCUCUCCGGUCCUCUUCCUCGAGGACUCUCGAAUCUGUCGAAGCUGACCAGCCUCGAUGUCUCGCACAACAUGCUGACGGGAUCGUUGGAUGUGCUCGGCGGGCUCGACAACCUCGUAUUUCUCGAUGUCUCUUACAACAAUUUCUCGGGGUAUCUCCCUGAAACGACGUUCUUCCGGCAGCUGCCGGCUGCUUCCUUCGCCGGCAACCAGCAGCUGUGUGCCAACCGAAGUGACUGCCUCCUGCAGCUCAAGACGAGAAGCAAUCCUUCAAGACGAGCCAUCCUGAGCUGUGGGAUUGCACUAACAGUUGGCCUGGCAAUAAUGAUAGUUUGGCUACUGAUGUGGACUCGCAAACUAGCCGAGAGGAGAAGGAAGGAAGGCCAUGGAGACUGGCAAUGGGACUUCACAGUCUUCCAAAAGGUGUCUUUCUCGGUCGAUGACGUAGUGCAGGGGCUGUCGGAGACUAACGUCAUCGGAAGAGGUUCUUCAGGAGUAGUCUACAGAGUUGAGACCGGAGCUGGCCUCACCAUCGCCGUGAAGAAGCUGCGGGCGGAGAAGAAGAACGAGCAGCUUCAGGAGAGGGAUUGUUUCACCACCGAGGUGAAGAUUCAUGGCUCCAUCAAGCACAAGAACAUAGUGAGGCUUCUGGGUUGCUGCGUGAACAGACACGACGACACUCGCCUGCUCAUAUUCGAUCAUAUCAGCAACGGGAGUUUGGACGAUUUGCUUCACGGAAGCACUAAGAUGACGGUGGCGUGGGAGUCGAGGUACAAGAUCGCACUCGGUGCAGCUCAGGGCUUGGCUUACCUCCACCACGACUGCAAUCCUCCCAUCAUUCACCGCGACAUCAAAGCUCGGAACAUCUUAGUCGGCCUCGAAUUCGAACCCUAUCUUGCGGAUUUCGGACUCGCGAAGCCUGUCGAUCGUUCCGGGAGGACGAUGCCCUGCGGCGUCGUCGCUGGCUCUUACGGCUACAUCGCUCCUGAGUACAGCUACAGCCCAAGGAUCACCGAGAAGAGCGACGUGUAUAGCUACGGCGUUGUUCUCCUGGAGAUCUUAACCGGGCUGCAACCGAGCGAUGCGAGGAUCCAGGGAGCGCAUAUCGUGGACUGGGUGCGGAGAGAACUCAGGGCAGCUAAUUCUCCGGCGGCCGCCGUCCUGGACGGAAGUUUGAGGAAUCAAACGGACGUGGAGGUGCAGGAGAUGGUCCAGGUGCUCGGCGUGGCGCUGCUGUGCGUGAAUCCGGCGCCAGAGGAGCGGCCUUCCAUGAGGGACGUCGCAGCUUUGCUCAGGGAGAUCAGGAUAGUGAGCCGACAUCUGCAGGAAGCCGGUGAUCACCCGGAGAAAGGCUUUGAAAACUGUGCCAAUGCCGCAGCAUGCAGUAGCUUCUCCCGAGCCUCAGUGCCCAUGAUAAGCUCAUCAUCUUCGACGUCAUCUUCCCUGUAGUCGUGGAUCACGGGUGGCUUCAUUCAACUGCAUCAUCUCAAGAUGUUUCAUGAACUUGGCUUUGUAAUUUAUUGAUUCUUUUUUUUUGGUAAUCCGUGCUAAAGAUCUCGUAACAUUAAGCCACAGGAUCAUGCAAUUUGA
Musa acuminata subsp. malaccensis (wild Malaysian banana) is the source of this 3416-nucleotide non-coding RNA. Lineage: Eukaryota; Viridiplantae; Streptophyta; Magnoliopsida; Zingiberales; Musaceae. The record is from RefSeq and is a predicted model, not a curated record.